GACGGAGGAUGCAAGCGUUAUCCGGAAUUAUUGGGCGUAAAGCGUACGCAGGUGGUUAGACAAGUCUUAUGUCAAAGCGCAAGGCUUAACCUUGUAAAGGCAUGGGAAACUGUCUGGCUAGAGUAUGGUAGGGGCAGGAGGAAUUCCCGGUGUAGCGGUGAAAUGCGUAGAUAUCGGGAAGAACACCAGUGGCGAAAGCGUCCUGCUGGGCCAUAACUGACACUCAUGUACGAAAGCUAGGGGAGCGAAUGGG
Molecule: ribosomal RNA, 253 nt
Filed under: uncultured bacterium
Lineage: Bacteria
Description: partial 16S ribosomal RNA
Rfam family: Bacterial small subunit ribosomal RNA
Source: RNAcentral